CUACGGAGGGUGCAAGCGUUACUCGGAAUCACUGGGCGUAAAGCGCGCGCAGGCGGUCUUUUAAGUUGGAUGUGAAAGCCUACGGCUCAACCGUAGAACUGCAUCCAAAACUAUUAGACUAGAGUGUGCGAGAGGAAGAUGGAAUUAGUUGUGUAGGGGUAAAAUCCGUAGAGAUAACUAGGAAUACCAAAAGCGAAGGCAAUCUUCUGGAACACUACUGACGCUGAGGCGCGAAGGCGUGGGGAGCAAACAGGAUUAGAAACCCCGGUAGUCC
Molecule: ribosomal RNA, 274 nt
Filed under: uncultured bacterium
Lineage: Bacteria
Description: partial 16S ribosomal RNA
Rfam family: Bacterial small subunit ribosomal RNA
Source: RNAcentral